AUUCUCACAUCCUCUCGGAAGAGAUACGCUCUCUGCCAAUUUCUAAAGACAGUGGCACUUCCAGGAUGUUCUGCCUGUGGAUAUGUUUGAGUGUGUUUUGUGCUUUACCAAGCACUGUAUCAUCAGAUCAAGGCGUGUCACUGACGUGUAACGAGGCUGUCAACGUUACCGCUGGAGAAAAUGUGAUUCUAACCUGUUUCAUAAAUUGGAUUUUAGAAGGAGAAGACUGUGUUGGUCACAGUUAUGUCUGGCGUAACACAAAUGGCACCAAACUCUGUGACAAUGGCGUAAAAUACGGCUGUAAAUGGAAUAAUUAUACCUAUGUGUCACUGACCAUCUUAGAUGUGAUAGAAAAGGACGUUGUCACAGUUGAAAUCUCGACAACCUGUGGUAUGGAGAAAUCCCGUCCUAUCAGAGUACAGCCAAUCAGCAGUGAACCAGCUGUAUCAGAUCGGUUGCAGGAGGAGUCAGCACAUGCUGCAACCACUGCGCUUUGUGUUUUUGCCUCUGCUGCUGUUGUUGUGGUCAUUUUGUGUUUCCUAUAUAGAAAAUACAGAUGCAGAGUGAGAGGACAGUGACAUAGACUGCACCAGGGAGUACAGACGGACAAAUUCAGAUUGUUUUUAUCAGUGAACGGGUGGAUAUGAAUGUGUAAGCUGUUUGUGAAAGCUAGUGCUCACCAUUGAUGGCUCUGCUCCUAAACCGUCCUGUUGUCAUCAUUGUUUUGUCAUCCGUUUCAUUUUUAGUCUUUCAUGAAAUUCUUUCUUGUGUUUAUGCUGACUGAGCAACAUUCACAUGAGGAUUUUAUGUGAUUAACAGAGUGCUCUACAUGACUUUCAGUCAUGUCAUAUAGUUAAAAGAGGAAAAUGAUGAUGAACCAGCAUUGAUGUAGAUGUUGCACUGUGCAGUAAAGACUCUAUGUUGGGAUUUUUUUUUAACUUUCUGCCUUUAGUCUCUUAUGUCUAAACACUGGCACGGUGUUCUUGUUUCUCUGUUUCUAAAUUAGGUUUAAUUGCAUUUGCAAGAAACUUUUUUUUCUUUUAAGUUCUUCCUUUUUGCACAGUGUUGACAUGAAUUUAUUUCCAUUUACACUUCUUCACUUAGACCGUUUUAAAAUAUUCACUUAUAUCAUAUGAUUUUGAUUCAGCGUGGACCUUCACAUAUUUAAUUCUGGCUCAGCAAAGCGUGAACCAUGGAACUGUGAAGUUUAGUAGGUCAUUCUUACUUUUAACCACUUGGGAAAGCUGUCUGUAUUUGAACAGCCUGUGGCUCUGAAACUGAUGACCUGAACCUGUGGAAACUGAAGGAAUUUGAAGAGUUUAAUGAUUCAGAAUCUUAGUAGUCUAAUAUGAGAGUAUUUCAAAUUCCGUGUGACGGGAUCAUACCAAAAGAGUAGGGUCUCAGACCUCAAAGUUUGCUGGUGACACUAUUGUGUUUGGAGUCAUUGCUGACAGGAAUAAAUCAGCCUAUAGGUGUUAGGUGGAGCAGCUGUCCAGGUGGUGCAAAGACAACAACUUGGUCUUGUCCUCAGACAGAUGAUUCAAGCCUAUGAAACAAGGAUCAACCUGUGAAAGAACAGGUUAGAUUCUGAAGCAAUUAUGUCAGUUAAUGCUGAGUAAAGCACUCAGGCCGCAGUUUUCAACAGCAACAGGAAGGGAAUGUGCAAUAUGUUGAAAGACAAGUGCAUGAGAUGAUUUCACUUACUAUCAAAAAGAAAGAGGUUAUGUUUUUGUUGGCAUUUGUGUGCAUACAGGCAUGUUAUCUUUCUUUAUCUGACAAAAACUUUGUAGGUGUGUCGAGCUGGGUCAUGUUAAUGAUUUGGCUUAAAAUUUGGCUUACAUCCAGCAAGAUCUUCAAGGUCAACUUUAAUGAUUUAUAGGUUGAAAAUUUACAAAAAGAUUGUUAACUUAGAAACUAUCAUUCUUUUAAGUGUGAUGUAAAUUGGUAACAUAUAGAAAGUACUGUAUAAAGAUGUAAAAUAUCAGGUCACAUUUGCCCCUCCAUGAGUCUCCGUUUUACCAUGGUGCAGAGGUUUGUGUGCCAGGGGCUAGGUUUAGUUUAAAAUGAAUUGUUUUGUGCUGUAAUUCUGUAUCUAUUUAUACUCUCGUUAGUUCCUUUUCCUUAUUUUGUGCUUGUAUUUCCCGCACUGAAUACUCUCACCUUUGUUAUCCUUCACACAUUUUGAAUUACUGCUCACUUGCCAGAUGUGUUUCUUGUAGUGAAGUAUUUUGGGGGCGAUUUUUAGUUCUUUCUCUUGUCACUCCUUAUGUUGACUUCCUCCUGUGCAACCUUUUGAAGUGUUUUUAGAUUUUGGCUUGGCUGUUUAUUGGAUGCCUUCAUGUGCAUAACCACUGCCUGUUUUGGAAAUACAGAUUUUUAUUGGUGGACUUUAAGUCUGUGGACAUCUUUAGACUACUCCUGCUACCACUGCUACAAAAAUAACUAUUUAAAACAUUUUUUAGUAAUUAAUCCCAACGUUUAUAUCUUUUUUUAUUUAAAAAAAAAAAAAUAAUCAGUAGCAACUUUUCAUUCAUCUUACUUUGUUUAUUCUCAUAUGAACUGUCCCAAGAGUCGAUUUGAACGUUAAUGUUUACAAACAGAGAGUACCAAAAACAACUGUUGUCAUCGGGCACCUUUCAUAAUGGACACAAGAGGCCAGUUUUGUUUGGAAAACUGAAAUAAUUUUCAUUUCAUCAAUGUGUUAUGUUGUAAUCUCAAAGUAGUUCAUCUAAACUUCAUGUUGAGCAACGUGUGUGCCUCUUACAUUCCCUUCAUCUCAGCAAAUCAGUUAUUUUAACUCUGCAGGUAGGUAACUCUGA
This is a long non-coding RNA of Oreochromis niloticus (Nile tilapia), 2819 nucleotides long. RefSeq lists it as uncharacterized. The transcript has 4 exons. The record is from RefSeq and is a predicted model, not a curated record. Lineage: Eukaryota; Metazoa; Chordata; Actinopteri; Cichliformes; Cichlidae.